AACCCUAUCUACAAUCGAUGUGGGACAACUUCAACAAGCUCCCCCUUACACAUCGAGCUUUGCAAAAAACCAAACACAUCUCCUCCCACACAUCGGGCCCUACAGGAGACCAAACUGUCUCCCCCUCACACAAAGGGUCAGCGGGAGACCAAGCCAGUCUCUUCCUCACAUAAACCCGAAUCUCUACAACUAUUGGGUCGGAGACGAUUGUUGAGCCAGAGACUUGUUGAUAAACCAGGCUCUGAUACCAUUAUUGAGUAGUGUUUGGCCUCUCUUACCCUAAAAGCUAGCUCAAAAGGUGAAACUUUUCCUCACAUUUAUAAACUGAAUGCCAACCUCAUCUACAAUCAAUGUGGGACAACCUCAACAUCAAACACACCGUCCAAAAAGGUAUUAACAUCUAAUAAAACCAUCGCGG
Molecule: long non-coding RNA, 418 nt
Filed under: Olea europaea (common olive)
Lineage: Eukaryota; Viridiplantae; Streptophyta; Magnoliopsida; Lamiales; Oleaceae
Description: long non-coding RNA (OEUR_LNC002561)
Source: RNAcentral